Long non-coding RNA from Toxorhynchites rutilus septentrionalis, 996 nucleotides. RefSeq lists it as uncharacterized. The transcript has 7 exons. The record is from RefSeq and is a predicted model, not a curated record. NCBI's taxonomy places the organism in Eukaryota, Metazoa, Arthropoda, Insecta, Diptera, Culicidae.
CUCUACUAGAGCUUCGUACAUUUUACUCGAUACCAUUAGUAACCUUGUCCUUUUUAUCAUACCUAGCAUCUGUGAUGCGUGCACUUUGCAAUCGCCAUUUUUGUUUUGGAAACGAAGCGAUUCGGAGCUUAUUAUCUUACCAAAAUCGUAACAACGUAAUCCAGGAAAUAAUUGAAAUUCAAUUCGGAGCUAGCAUUAAAAAGUAACAUCUGACAGCAUAAACAAUUUGGAGGCGAAUACGGACGUAAAAUACGGACGAAGUGAGCACCAGUAAACUAUGGGAAUAACGAAUACUGAAAUCACUUAUUCAAUCCUGAAUAAAUCUCGGGCGAAUACGGACGUAAAAUACGGACGAAGUGAGCACCAGUAAACUAUGGGAAUAACGAAUACUGAAAUCACUUAUUCAAUCCUGAAUAAAUCUCGGGUAAACAUUAAGAAAUGGAUGAAUUGGGCGACUGGAUUAAAAGGCAUAGCACAAUUUUGGAAUACUGGGCUAAACAUUUGUCACACUUAUGCUAUCCAGAAACUUUCGGGUAACGAGAGGACACAAAACAGGACACGAAGUGCUGUUUUCUGAUGCCUUCGAUUGCCGACCAAUCAGUUGUCCCUGACCUACAAUAAGCAAAAGUAUUGUGGUCCAGCAAGAAAAAUAACAUGAAUUGACUUAUAAUGAAUUUAAUUAUGUUAUUAGUAAUGUAUUAUAAAUAACAUGACUAGUUGUAUUAGUGCACCCGUGGCCGAGUGGUUAGCGUCUCACAUUAUCAUGCCGGGUGUUCGGGUUCGAUUCCCGUUCUGGCCGGGGGAUUUUUCGUCAAAGAAAUUUCCUUCGACUUGCACUGUGGUCAUGCGUAUUCAAGAGCUUGCCCCUCGGAAUACAUUCAAGGCGUGUUAUUUGGCUUAAGAAAUCUCGACCAAGUAUUAAUAAAUGACGCUAGUUAAUGCAUACGUUGAGACAGCAAAAGUUCCACAAGUGAACGUUAACGCCAUUCAAGAAGA